Molecule: ribosomal RNA, 112 nt
Filed under: Caerostris darwini
Lineage: Eukaryota; Metazoa; Arthropoda; Arachnida; Araneae; Araneidae
Source: RNAcentral
AACGGCCAUACCAUGCUGAAUAUACCGGUUCUCGUUAGAUCACCGAAGUUAAGCAUCAUUGGGCGCGGUCAGUACUUGGGUGGGUGACCACCUGGGAACACCGCGUGUCGUU